Non-coding RNA from Pristionchus pacificus, 61 nucleotides. The record is from Rfam. NCBI's taxonomy places the organism in Eukaryota, Metazoa, Nematoda, Chromadorea, Rhabditida, Neodiplogasteridae.
UCUUCAUUCCACGUGCUCUCUCACCGGUCAGAGAGGCGAGAGAGUGUGUGAAAUAAAGAGA